Molecule: long non-coding RNA, 3216 nt
Organism: Cyprinus carpio carpio
Lineage: Eukaryota; Metazoa; Chordata; Actinopteri; Cypriniformes; Cyprinidae
Source: Ensembl
UUUUUUUUUUUUUUUUGCUGUUUUGAUUUGACUUCUUUCAAAGAUAUUAAAAAUCUUACUGCGCCCCAAACUUUGAAAAGCAAAUAUUUCUAAAUAAGCACUAGAUAAAUAGCUGUUUUUUUUUAUUUUUUUUUUAAGUGUUGUUCAUUGUCCCUGCACACCUCGUGAUACCUAUUGCAUUAACUGUUAACCAGUUGAAUCUUAUUGUAGAGUGUGACCAAUGAUCUUGAAAAGGAAUCGGUUGACGCAUUAUAUUUAAUUUCCAAUUUGAGCUUCUAAAAUAAAUUUAGCAGAAAAUGUUCUUUCACUUGUCAAGCCUCAAACCACAGUCCCUUGAUAAAUCUUCAGGAGGGGUGGAGAGAACGAGCUAAGAUGAAGGCACACACCUGGCUGACAUUUUUUGGGACAUAAGAAUGAACUUUGGACCUGCAGAGGGAAGAAGGGAUGAAUAAAGGAGGUGGAGAGAAUGAACUCUCAUUCUGGAAGAAAACUCAUCCAGUUGUUUAUGAUAAAAGCAUUCCACUGCCUGUUUUAGAUGAUUUAGGAGUAAAUACCUAUGAGACGAAAGGUCACUGGUUACCCCGGUUCACCCAACGUGAAGAAAAACAAUGCUCUGUGAUGAUGCUGGAUGUGGAAGUGAUACAUAGGAGGUCAAAACAUAGUUUUAGUCAUGUAGUGUCUGUUUGUGAGUGACUUUCUGUUCUCCCAAGAUUCCCUAUAACCCCUGCGGUCAUACAUAGUGCUGUUGCGCCAGACAGUUGCUCCUUACUCUGACUUUUGGGUUGUUUUUUUUUUUAUUAUUUAUUUUGCAUAGAGCACUCUGUUUUAGGAAUGCCUGUAGCGUGUUCAAAAGGAAAAAGUAUGUCUGCUUUGUGAAAGUAUGCACGACUGUGCCGAUCUCUCGCUGAAAAUAGUGCCGUUCUAGAAUGCCGAGACCAUAUUGAGAACAGGCUGGAAUGAAAAAACAAGGCUACGGCAAUUCAAUGGGGGUCAAGGGGUGGGUGAGGAAUCAGUCGACAAGUGAAUUGAGCAGCAAUAUAGUAAAGUUUGCUUUACAAAGAGGGGAAAAAGAAAUCAUAUCUAACUGUUACAUAUCCACACAUUUCAUGUGAAGCUUCAUGGUCUGCUUUAUGUAGUAACAUGUCAAGAAUAAAGUUCUUAUAAGUUCCAUUCAUAGCAUUACAUAAACAGACACGUAAAGGCAGGAGGAUACAACAGGAAGGAAGAUGGAGAGUUGAUGAGAAGUGAAAGAGAAAGAAAAACAGAAUGAGCAAGUGUGAGAAAGACAAGGCCAGUGGAGAAUAAUUGGUGAAAGAAACAGGUAGGAAGCGAAGUGGAGAAGAAGCAAGAGGGGGGAAAAGACACGAAAGCCUGAUUGCAGGUAGUUGGCUUAUUGUUGUCUCUUUAUUGUAACGUCAGUCUCUGCGGGUUUCUGCUCCCGAGGUCAUGAAGCAAGAUGACAGUUAAAAGCCCCUCUGGAGGAAACUGGGGGAUAGAAAAACUUCCACUGUCACUUAAGAGCUCGGCCUUCAGCGUCUCAAUACUUACAUACUCACACACAGCAGAUAGACUCUUUUGGUUCUCAGGUGGUUAUAUGCACAUUUUCUCUUUGUUUUGCAGUGUUUAACAUUACUCAAGUCAUGCUCAUUUGUCUCCCGCUGAACGUCAUGAUAUGCUCACUAUAAGGCAGCCAUCACAAUUCAGCCUUGAAAAUGUGAUUUCAUUGGCUUGUUAUCUUACACUUGAAGUUUGCGAAGCUCAGGAGCCAAAAUUUGUCCAGCAAACUCUCAUGCCAAUUCGUAACCAUUUUACACGCUGGGGAAUUCAUACAGUACGCACUCUACAUUUGCACGUUUUAGAAGCCUAUUAUCUCUUCAGCGUUUAGGUUAAGGGUGGACCUCCAUGUUACGGUUUUCUAAAAAUCACACUGUACACAUUCAUACAAAAUCACCACCUCGUAAAAUAGUUACGCUUUCUCAUGAGAUCGGGUUGGUUUGUCCCUGGAGCACCCCUAGUCAUAUUACGAAUUAUCAGGGAAGAAGUGGUUUAGAAAUAUUGAUGAUGUGUAAAUGUGAUUUUUGAGGGCAAUAUUUUGAUUAGUAAUAUUCUAUCUUAAACUAUUCUGACCAUCUCCCACUCUCCCCUAAAAAUAAAUAAUUAAAACCUUUAAAUGCGUCCCUUAUAGAUAAUCUCUGUCGUUUGAGGGGAUUUGCCUGGAGAAAUAUUAGUAAGUAGCACAUUGUACAUUUUUGGUUAAUAAUAAAAGUGUCUUCAGUUUCGCCUUUACAUUUGUUGGUGAGCCAAAUGAAUGCCAAAAAAAAACAAGUGAAUUGCCUAUCCUUUAUAUUUGCAUUAAGUAAUAAUUGACCAAAUCCUAUAGAGUUAGCGCACAAUCAAUGAGUAUAAUGUUAGCCUUAUGCAACUUUAUGCCUUUUUGAUAUUCACUCACGCCAGCUGCACUCUGUAGUCUUUCCUCUGUCAUUCCAUUUUCCUUGUCAUUGUGUUUCACAUCUCUAAAAUGGCUACAGACGUAAAAUGAUCUUGUGGUGCGUGUGACAGAGAGAUGAAACGCUCAUCUGGGCCGGAACACGUGCAGCCUCCCUCUUCUUCUGCCACUCACGCGCUGUUCCUCGAAGAUGCCCUGAUUCAAACACACCCGUCUCCCACGCUCCGUUCAGCCACGAUUUUCCCUCGCUGUCGUCUCCACAGCGAGCUUGUGUAGGGAGGGCUUGGCAACCGGGUGUCAUGGAAACUGAGCCGUGUUAGUCUGAGUUGCGAGCCUUUUCUUAUCUUAGCUGCUCGCAUACAAGAAGCAUCACGCACAUGCAGCACAACAGAGCCCAAACAUCAGGUUCUACAGCUCAAAACUUAACCGGUGUACUGAUUAUGUUUCUUAAUUUCAUUCUCGUGUAAAAGAUAUGAGGUGUGCAUUUGUUUUUUGUUUUUUUGUCCCACCCCAUGCCCUCCUCUUUCCUUCUCUGACUGAAGUUGAGUAACGCUACAGGUGCUGUUGUCUCUGUUUUUCUUCUUUCUGCUUUUCUCUCUUUACACUUCUGCUUUAAUUUAUUGUGCUGUUUUCCUAAGGCUAAUUUGCUACUGUUGCUGAUAACAUCGUUUCCUUUUUGGUAAUAUUUAUCCUUCUAAUUUCUGUUAAGUUUAGUCACAGCUAAUGUAACAAAACACACUGUGAUGAUUCCAGUAUUAAUAAAAGUUGUA